Molecule: ribosomal RNA, 207 nt
Filed under: uncultured bacterium
Lineage: Bacteria
Description: partial 16S ribosomal RNA
Rfam family: Bacterial small subunit ribosomal RNA
Source: RNAcentral
AGCGUAGACGGAUGGACAAGUCUGAUGUGAAAGGCAUGGGCUCAACCUGUGGACUGCAUUGGAAACUGUCAUACUUGAGUGCCGGAGGGGUAAGCGGAAUUCCUAGUGUAGCGGUGAAAUGCGUAGAUAUUAGGAGGAACACCAGUGGCGAAGGCAGGUCACUGGGCCGUUACUGACGCUGAGGAGCGAAAGCAUGGGGAGCGAACA